This 454-nucleotide RNase P RNA is filed under the name Phycisphaeraceae bacterium. Its description in RNAcentral is "RNase P RNA component class A". It matches the Rfam family "Bacterial RNase P class A". Rfam says of the family: Ribonuclease P (RNase P) is a ubiquitous endoribonuclease, found in archaea, bacteria and eukarya as well as chloroplasts and mitochondria. Lineage: Bacteria; Pseudomonadati; Planctomycetota; Phycisphaerae; Phycisphaerales; Phycisphaeraceae. The record is from RNAcentral.
GGAGCGCGGCAGGCGGCCGCGACGGCGGGGAGACAUCCGCCGAUCGAGGAAAGUCCGAGCACGGCAGGACACGGUGGUGGGCAACACCCACCCGCCCCCCACACCACGGCCCGGGGCGAGGGACAGUGCAACAGAAAGCACACCGCCGAUGGCCCCGACCCGAAAGGGCGGGGAUCAGGCAAGGGUGAAAUGGUGCGGUAAGAGCGCACCGCGCGGCGGGUGACCGUCGCGGCCGGCAAACCCCACCGCGUGCAAGGUCAUGCAGCCCCCGGUACGCCGGGCUCGUCCCGGCGUCACGCCCGGUCCGGGCGGAAGGGGGCGGGUCGACCGCUCGAGCCCGUCGGCAACGACGGGCCCAGAGAAAUGGCCGCCCAACGCCCGAAGGCCCGUCACCCCCAAGGGGACCGGGAACCGCGGGCCGGGACAGAACUCGGCUUACCGCCGCGCGGGACCU